This 265-nucleotide long non-coding RNA is filed under the name Gossypium barbadense (sea-island cotton). Its description in RNAcentral is "long non-coding RNA (GBAR_LNC002457)". Lineage: Eukaryota; Viridiplantae; Streptophyta; Magnoliopsida; Malvales; Malvaceae. The record is from RNAcentral.
UUUAAUUGCACAAGGUCCUUGAAGAGUUGAAUAAAUCAGAGAUUUACCUGGAGAUUUGCGAUUGACAGGGUCCUGAUCCUGAUGAUGUUGUGGCACUUAAAUCAAGCAAAAAUCAGCCACAUUUCCACAAAUCAUGGCCCGCCACCCUUGGAUGAAUUUGCAAAAGGUGGACACUCCUAUUUUUAGCAAACUAGCUCCCUUGCCUCACCUAUAAAUAAGACCCUAUUUCUUACUUUUCUAAACAUCCCUCAUCCCUCAAUCAUCC